UACGGGGGGGGCAAGCGUUGUUCGGAAUUACUGGGCGUAAAGCGUGCGUAGGUGGUUCGUUAAGUCUGAUGUGAAAGCCCUGGGCUCAACCUGGGAAUGGCAUUGGAAACUGGCGACCUAGAGUGCGGUAGAGGGUAGUGGAAUUCCCGGUGUAGCAGUGAAAUGCGUAGAUAUCGGGAGGAACAUCAGUGGCGAAGGCGGCUACCUGGCCCAAUACUGACACUCAGGUGCGACAGCGUGGGGAGCAAACAGG
Molecule: ribosomal RNA, 253 nt
Filed under: uncultured bacterium
Lineage: Bacteria
Description: partial 16S ribosomal RNA
Rfam family: Bacterial small subunit ribosomal RNA
Source: RNAcentral